UGAGGAAUAUUGGUCAAUGGCCGGAAGGCUGAACCAGCCAAGCCGCGUGAAGGACGAAGGUGCCAAGCAUUGUAAACUUCUUUUGUCAAGGGACAAAAUCAGGCUCGAGAGCCUGACCGAGGGUACUUGAAGAAAAAGCAUCGGCUAACUCCGUCGCC
Molecule: ribosomal RNA, 158 nt
Filed under: uncultured bacterium
Lineage: Bacteria
Description: partial 16S ribosomal RNA
Rfam family: Bacterial small subunit ribosomal RNA
Source: RNAcentral